AUGAACGCUGGCGGCGUGCUUAACACAUGCAAGUCGAACGGUGAAAGAGAGCUUGCUCUCUGGAUCAGUGGCGAACGGGUGAGUAACACGUGAGCAAUCUGCCCUUGACUCUGGGAUAAGCGUUGGAAACGACGUCUAAUACCGGAUACGAGCUGUGAAGGCAUCUUCAACAGCUGGAAAGAACUUCGGUCAAGGAUGAGCUCGCGGCCUAUCAGCUAGUUGGUGAGGUAAUGGCUCACCAAGGCGUCGACGGGUAGCCGGCCUGGGAGGGUGACCGGCCACACUGGGACUGAGACACGGCCCAGACUCCUACGGGAGGCAGCAGUGGGGAAUAUUGCACAAUGGGCGCAAGCCUGAUGCAGCAACGCCGCGUGAGGGACGACGGCCUUCGGGUUGUAAACCUCUUUUAGCAGGGAAGAAGCGAAAGUGACGGUACCUGCAGAAAAAGCACCGGCUAACUACGU
This 464-nucleotide ribosomal RNA is filed under the name uncultured bacterium. RNAcentral describes it as "bacterial SSU rRNA". It matches the Rfam family "Bacterial small subunit ribosomal RNA", at positions 29 to 506 of the family's 1533-position model. The record is from RNAcentral.